GACGAACGCUGGCGGCGUGCCUAAUACAUGCAAGUAGAACGCUGAAGGAGGAUCUUGCUCUUCUGGAUGAGUUGCGAACGGGUGAGUAACGCGUAGGUAACCUGCCUGGUAGCGGGGGAUAACUAUUGGAAACGAUAGCUAAUACCGCAUAACAGUAGAUGUUGCAUGACAUUUGCUUAAAAGGUGCAAUUGCACCACUACCAGAUGGACCUGCGUUGUAUUAGCUAGUUGGUGGGGUAACGGCUCACCAAGGCGACGAUACAUAGCCGACCGGAGAGGGGGAUCGGCCACACUGGGACUGAGACACGGCCCAGACUCCUACGGGAGGCAGCAGUAGGGAAGCUUCGGCAAUGGACGGAAGUCUGACCGAGCAACGCCGCGUGAGUGAAGAAGGUUGUCGGAUCGUAAAGCUCUGUUGUAAGAGAAGAACGAGUGUGAGAGUGGAAAGUUCACACUGUGACGGUAUCUUACCAGAAAGGGACGGCUAACUACGUG
Molecule: ribosomal RNA, 495 nt
Filed under: uncultured bacterium
Lineage: Bacteria
Description: partial 16S ribosomal RNA
Rfam family: Bacterial small subunit ribosomal RNA
Source: RNAcentral